Molecule: long non-coding RNA, 816 nt
Organism: Panicum virgatum (switchgrass)
Lineage: Eukaryota; Viridiplantae; Streptophyta; Magnoliopsida; Poales; Poaceae
Exons: 2
Source: RefSeq, a predicted model, not a curated record
AUGUGCCUGAACCUUGAACUUAUUUCUUUCGGGUUUCAUCUCUAGCCUACCCCAACUUGCUUGGGAAAAAAGGCUAUGUUGUUGUUGUUGUUGUUGUAUGAAAAGAUGUUAUUUGCUCUCUGAUUUCAGUUCAUGUUGUAUAUGGGAUCCACAUGACCACAUUCUGGUCAUAAUUUUUAUUGUUCUGAAUAUUGAUAUUUCAUUACACGGAUGCAAAGCUUGUAACAGAAAGGCAUGGUACUCAUAAAAAAUUUCUGCAGUUGUCGAUGGUAACAAUAGUAUCGAAAUUAAUAGAAUUGACAUCUCAUUUUCCCCCGAAAGCAGAUGUCUUGUAAAAUAUAGUCACUUGGUUAGUGGGUCUAUUGAGAAGUAUAAUAGCGCUCCACCUUUGAAAGGUGCAUUGUUUCGACAUCUUUUGUUAUCUAUGGACUUUCUGGGAGGAUCACAGCUUCUGUCUUUAUGUUAUUUGUGUUGCAGUUGGUCAGGGUAUUGGAUGAAAGCAGUGGCUGUACAUGGUCAUCCAAGAAAAGGCCUAAUGAUCAACUUGUUAUCCACUUAUUUUUGCUACUAAGUAUGAAAGCUUGAAACUGUGAGGAAUCUUCCAUGCGCACAGCCCACUGAUGAAGGGGGGUUACAGGGUUGUGAUGCAAGAACCCAUCAUCCGUCUUGGUCAUCCAUAAUCUUGAAAAGUACUUUUUCAAUCACAAGAUGCUGUUUUUUCUAUGAUGCGUCUUUCUUGAGCUUUAUGGACUGUAUCCCGUGAAUAAGCUGAAAUAUAUUUAUGAUAAAAAAUAUUAGCUGAUCAUAUAGUUUUUG